This is a long non-coding RNA of Drosophila suzukii, 2263 nucleotides long. RefSeq lists it as uncharacterized. NCBI's taxonomy places the organism in Eukaryota, Metazoa, Arthropoda, Insecta, Diptera, Drosophilidae. The record is from RefSeq and is a predicted model, not a curated record.
GUAAUUUGUUUGAUAUACAUAUAGUAGUCGCCUUCUCGGCUCUCCCGGAGCGCUUCUUCCUCGGAUUGCGAGUGCGGCAGCGCGCAGCUUUUCGAGUUCUCUCUGCCAGACUGCUUUUCAUUUUGUUUAGUUCCUUUUUGACGGCGGGCGCGUGCACAUCGCAAACAAUAUAUGAAAAGAAAUAUUUAAAAAAUACUGUUAUUGACAGUUUGCUCUUUUAAAACGUGCUGGUAUAAUUAUAACCUUUAAUGAGCUCAGUAACAAAUAAAGAAAGUGAAAUAUGUUUAUAACAAAUAAAGAGUAAAAAGAUUGUUCUACAAAUAUAGGUCAAUCGAGGGUCCAAAAGAAAUCACCACGCGCCUAAUUCGGUCGUAGGAACCCAUGUAUACUAAUAAAAAAAUUCUACCCAAAACAGCCCUAUGCGAAUGGUACAUCCGUGUAUUACAUUUUCAGAAUUUAAAGUGAAGAAACUUUAAAUUUAUUACGAAAUUUGGACUUCACGUUAAGAUUCACUGCUCCAGGGGCCUAUGCAUAACAACUAAACUAAAACAUGAAAUCAGUAAACACAUAUACAAUUCAACAUUCGAUUCAAUAAAUCUAUAGGAAAUUCCCAGAACUAAGAGAAAACACUUGACACAUUACCACUGGAGGAAAUUACGAGGAUACACUGAAUAGGCCUUAGUGUGACCGUACACUGAAAAAUUGGACCAACAUUACGGUAUUUUUUGUCCGUAAACCCUUUUUUCGAUAAGUAAAUCAAUUGGAAUAUUGAAAUGUAUUACGUGAAACUCAAUUCACUUUCACUCACUGUAAAGUUAUAGUAAUAUAAAAGGAAAAGACCACUACUAUAAUUGGGCAGUGUGACAGUUUAUGCGUCCGUGUCUGGAAUGAUUCUCCUUUUAUCUCGCUUUUACCGUUUGUCUGAAAAAUGUAGCUUGACAGGAAUUAAUAUGUUGGAUGAAUACCUGCAGUGCACCAACGGUCGAUAAAAAUAAAAGCUUGAAGUCAAGGCUUCAACCUCAUUUAACAUGUCCUGCACCAUUUCUGCUCCCUCUUCGCAGAGCACUCGUCGCCAGAAAUGCAGUGUCAUCUGCAUUUGUUGCUGCUGGAGCCACCUGCUUCUAGACUAAGGUCCGAGGAGUAGAUAAAAUAUUUGUCAUGGACCAGCACACUACCUUGUGGGACUCCAGUGGGUAUAGGCUGUGAAGCAGACUUAGACCUUCGAGCAUCCAUCUGAAAGGUUCUGUCAUCAAGGAAUGGAUGAGACUAAAGUAUGUUGGGGCAAGGAUAGGCUGAGCUCAAAAGCCGGACGGCAGCCAUCAUCUAAAUAAAUUCCGUAACAAUAAAUUUUCGCCUCCAGGACAUGAAAACCAAACUGAUGGUCCGGAAUUGCGUCCUGGAAUAGAUAAACACACCCAGAAAAAGAAAAAGAAAAAAAUCAUAUACAUUUUUCAAUCCGUUCGCUAUGUUGCAUUCAUACAAAACAAACGCCGCAUGAUUUGACCAUAAACAUUCAGGUUUAAUUAUAAACGCAUCACUGAAAAAUGCCUUGACAGAAAUGGAGAGAACACCGUUCUCUAAUUAUCAACACCGUUCAUGAAAACAUGUAUGUAGGCCUAGUGUCCCAAUUGUCCGUACUUGAAAAAUUCGUUUGGUGGACCAGCUGGUCCAGGUUCGAGUAUGCCAGAAAAAGAGUGUGAAUUAUUAGUUUUAUUAAAAUAUAAUUUCUUAUGUUUAAAUGCUCUACUAAUAAUAAAUAAAUUCUUUGUCAUCAGCAUAAUAGCCAAAGUACAUAAAUUCUAACAAUACACACACAAAAGUAAGGAAAUUAAACAAAUCUUUUACGUACUUUAUGACCCCGUUUGACUUUGAUUUUUUUUUGAGUGCACUGAAAAAACUUACGCAUCCAGUAAUAACCGUUAUUGAACACUCUUUAUUGAAAUUUAAGAAAAUAAUUCAAAUACGAUAGCACAGGUAGUCAAAAUCAAUCUUUUGGAUGUUGGGACUGGAAUUGGAAAAGAUCUUGAAAACUAUAAAAGUUUCUAGCUUUUGGAUUAAAUAUUAAGACUCUACGGAAUCCUACGAUACUCACUUAAAUGCCCUAGCAAAAAAAUGUGCCUGGCGACCACAUUUUUGAAGAUUUUCUAAUAGUGUAAAUUGGGUUCUUUGUUGUUCAAAGGAGUAGAAUAGAAUAUUUCCAAAAUGUUUCUUAAGGCAGAUCGCUUUUAGACGGACAACUAUCCUAGCUUAAACACACUUCAGA